Molecule: ribosomal RNA, 497 nt
Filed under: uncultured bacterium
Lineage: Bacteria
Description: bacterial SSU rRNA
Rfam family: Bacterial small subunit ribosomal RNA
Source: RNAcentral
AGGACGAACGCUGGCGGCGUGCUUAACACAUGCAAGUCGAACGGAACACCCUUGACAGAGGUUUCGGCCAAUGAAGAGGAAUGUUUAGUGGCGGACUGGUGAGUAACGCGUGAGGAACCUGCCUUUCAGAGGGGGACAACAGUUGGAAACGACUGCUAAUACCGCAUGAAGCAACGAGGGGACAUCCCCUUGCUGUCAAAGAUUUAUCGCUGAAAGAUGGCCUCGCGUCUGAUUAGCUAGUUGGUGGGGUAACGGCCCACCAAGGCGACGAUCAGUAGCCGGACUGAGAGGUUGACCGGCCACAUUGGGACUGAGAUACGGCCCAGACUCCUACGGGAGGCAGCAGUGGGGAAUAUUGGGCAAUGGGAACCGCAAGUCUGACCCAGCAACGCCGCGUGAAGGAAGAAGGCUUUCGGGUUGUAAACUUCUUUUAACAGGGAAGAGAAGAAGACGGUACCUGUUGAAUAAGCCACGGCUAACUACGUGCCAGCCGCCGC